This 253-nucleotide ribosomal RNA is filed under the name uncultured bacterium. RNAcentral describes it as "partial 16S ribosomal RNA". It matches the Rfam family "Bacterial small subunit ribosomal RNA", at positions 524 to 776 of the family's 1533-position model. The record is from RNAcentral.
UACGAAGGGGGCUAGCGUUGUUCGGAUUUACUGGGCGUAAAGCGCACGUAGGCGGGUCGUUAAGUCAGGGGUGAAAUCCCAGAGCUCAACUCUGGAACUGCCUUUGAUACUGUCGAUCUGGAGUAUGGAAGAGGUGAGUGGAAUUCCGAGUGUAGAGGUGAAAUUCGUAGAUAUUCGGAGGAACACCAGUGGCGAAGGCGGCUCACUGGUCCAUUACUGACGCUGAGGUGCGAAAGCGUGGGGAGCAAACAGG